This 71-nucleotide transfer RNA is filed under the name Ictidomys tridecemlineatus (thirteen-lined ground squirrel). RNAcentral describes it as "Spermophilus tridecemlineatus (thirteen-lined ground squirrel) tRNA". It matches the Rfam family "tRNA". Rfam says of the family: Transfer RNA (tRNA) molecules are approximately 80 nucleotides in length. Their secondary structure includes four short double-helical elements and three loops (D, anti-codon, and T loops). Lineage: Eukaryota; Metazoa; Chordata; Mammalia; Rodentia; Sciuridae. The record is from Rfam by way of RNAcentral.
GUGGCUGUAGCUCAGUAGCUGAGUACUCACCUCACAUGUGUGAGGCACUGGGUUCGAUCCCCAGCACCACA